GACGAAGGGGGCUAGCGUUGUUCGGAAUUACUGGGCGUAAAGCGAGUGUAGGCGGUUGUCCAAGUUGGAUGUGAAAGCCUUGAGCUCAACUCAAGAAAUGCAUUCAGGACUGGGCGGCUAGAGGACCGGAGAGGAUAGUGGAAUUCCCAGUGUAGUGGUGAAAUACGUAGAGAUUGGGAAGAACACCAGUGGCGAAGGCGGCUAUCUGGACGGUUUCUGACACUAAGACUCGAAAGCGUGGGGAGCAAACAGG
RNAcentral lists this ribosomal RNA (253 nucleotides) under uncultured bacterium. RNAcentral describes it as "partial 16S ribosomal RNA". It matches the Rfam family "Bacterial small subunit ribosomal RNA", at positions 524 to 776 of the family's 1533-position model. The record is from RNAcentral.